This 235-nucleotide long non-coding RNA is filed under the name Mytilus galloprovincialis (Mediterranean mussel). Lineage: Eukaryota; Metazoa; Mollusca; Bivalvia; Mytilida; Mytilidae. The record is from RNAcentral.
CUUUGACUUUACUGAGGUUACUGUGCAUUGAAUUGUGGUCUACAAACUAGGUGUCAACAAGGCUGUUAGUCCCCAGGCUUAAGCUUUACUUUAAGUUUUUGUCCCAAGUUUUUGACAAUCUCUUCAGGAAACUAAAUGUACUUUGCCUAGAUUAAUAAUCUUAGAGGACUUUUGAACUCUGAACUAAUAUACCGGAACUACAAUGUUUUUUUCAUUUGCAGACAUUUAUUUAAAG